CCCCUAGAUGUUCUGGGCCGCACGCGCGCUACACUGAACAGUUCAACAAGUCUUAACCUUGGCCGAUAGGUCUGGGUAAUCUUUGAACGCUGUUCGUGACUGGGAUAGACCUUUGCAAUUAUGGGUCUUCAACGAGGAAUUCCUAGUAAACGCAAGUCAUCAGCCUGCAUUGAUUACGUCCCUGCCCUUUGUACACACCGCCCGUCGCACCUACCGAUUGAAUGGUCCGGUGAAAUCUCGGGACGGCGGCUUGGUCGCUUGCGUCCGACUGCUGAAACUUGAUUAAACCAUAUCAUUUAGAGGAAGGUGAAGUCGUAACA
RNAcentral lists this ribosomal RNA (320 nucleotides) under uncultured eukaryote. Its description in RNAcentral is "partial 18S ribosomal RNA". It matches the Rfam family "Eukaryotic small subunit ribosomal RNA", at positions 1470 to 1796 of the family's 1831-position model. The record is from RNAcentral.